RNAcentral lists this ribosomal RNA (323 nucleotides) under uncultured eukaryote. RNAcentral describes it as "partial 18S ribosomal RNA". It matches the Rfam family "Eukaryotic small subunit ribosomal RNA", at positions 1470 to 1796 of the family's 1831-position model. The record is from RNAcentral.
CCCUUAGAUGUUCUGGGCUGCACGCGUGCUACACUGAUAUUGCCAAUAUGUCAUUCUUCUCCGAAAUGGAUUGGGUAAUCAAGUAAUGAAAUUUCAUGCUUGGAAUCGGUAAUUGCAAUUUUAUCGUGAACGAGGAAUUCCUAGUAAGCACUAGUCAUCAGCUAAUGUUGAUUAUGUCCCUGCCCUUUGUACACACCGCCCGUCGCUACUACUGAUUGGGUGUUCAAGUGAGAUGCUUAGACCCUUGUUGCAUGGUUCAUUAUUGUGCUCCGAAAGGAAAAAGUUUCAAGCUUGAGUGUCUAGAGGAAGUAAAAGUCGUAACA